UACGAGGGGGGCAAGCGUUGUUCGGAAUUAUUGGGCGUAAAGCGCACGUAGGCGGCUCGUUAAGUCGGAUGUGAAAUCCCUCGGCUCAACCGAGGAAGUGCAUCCGAAACUGGCGAGCUUGAGUACGGAAGAGGGUCUCGGAAUUCCCGGUGUAGAGGUGAAAUUCGUAGAUAUCGGGAGGAACACCAGUGGCGAAGGCGGAGACCUGGGCCGAUACUGACGCUGAGGUGCGAAAGCGUGGGGAGCAAACAGG
This 253-nucleotide ribosomal RNA is filed under the name uncultured bacterium. RNAcentral describes it as "partial 16S ribosomal RNA". It matches the Rfam family "Bacterial small subunit ribosomal RNA", at positions 524 to 776 of the family's 1533-position model. The record is from RNAcentral.